This 460-nucleotide ribosomal RNA is filed under the name uncultured bacterium. Its description in RNAcentral is "partial 16S ribosomal RNA". It matches the Rfam family "Bacterial small subunit ribosomal RNA", at positions 338 to 795 of the family's 1533-position model. The record is from RNAcentral.
CCUACGGGAGGCAGCAGUGAGGAAUAUUGGUCAAUGGGCGCUAGCCUGAACCAGCCAAGUAGCGUGAAGGAUGACUGCCCUAUGGGUUGUAAACUUCUUUUAUAUGGGAAUAAAGUGCAGUAUGUAUACUGCUUUGCAUGUACCUUAUGAAUAGGGAUCGCCUAACCCCGUGCCGUCCGCGCCGGUAAUACGGAGGAUCGGAGCGUUACCCGGAUUUAUUGGGUUUAAAGGGAGCGUAGGCGGGUUGUUAAGUCAGUUGUGAAAGUUUGCGGCUCAACCGUAAAAUUGAAGUUGAUACUGGCAUCCUUGAGUACAGUAGAGGUAGGCGGAAUUCGUGGUGUAGCGGUGAAAUGCUUAGAUAUCACGAAGAACUCCGAUUGCGAAGGCAGCCUGCUGGACUGUAACUGACGCUGAUGCGCGAAAGUGUGGGUAUCAAACAGGAUUAGAUACCCUGGUAGUC